UCUCUAGUGGCUCAGAUGGUAAAGAAUCUGCCUGCAAUGCGGGAAACUCAGGUUCGAUCCCUGGGUAGGGAA
RNAcentral lists this transfer RNA (72 nucleotides) under Bos taurus (domestic cattle). It matches the Rfam family "tRNA". Rfam says of the family: Transfer RNA (tRNA) molecules are approximately 80 nucleotides in length. Their secondary structure includes four short double-helical elements and three loops (D, anti-codon, and T loops). Lineage: Eukaryota; Metazoa; Chordata; Mammalia; Artiodactyla; Bovidae. RNAcentral also lists the same sequence under 1 other name. The record is from Rfam by way of RNAcentral.